Molecule: long non-coding RNA, 1288 nt
Organism: Astatotilapia calliptera (eastern happy)
Lineage: Eukaryota; Metazoa; Chordata; Actinopteri; Cichliformes; Cichlidae
Source: Ensembl
GGAGAUUUAAACUUAUCAACAAAUAUCAUUAAAAAACUCUUUUGUGCAUGAAACGGCGUCAACAGUCCCCUCGUAGGCUGCUUUCUAACACAAAGUUAAACUUCUACAAGUCCGAUAUUGAUCAUUUUACAGCUUUUAAUCUGCUUAAGAAACAUCUUGUUAACAUUGAGAGUCUUUAACAGUAUGAAUUGGUUUUGAUGCUGACUGGCGUUGCAGUUCAGAGCUUCCAGCAUCACUGUCCACGUGAUGCUGCGGCCGUGACACCGUACUGUAUCCCAGGCAGGAUUUAGAGAUCUUUGAAAAGAGGCAAUUUCAGAUUAUCGUGGCCUGAUCUGUGUGGAUGUGUCGGCCCUGUCAGCUGCGCGUGGAUACGAGCAGGACACACAUGGUUUAGGAAUGCACAGAUGCCUCGCGUUGUCGUUAAUCUCCCCGAGUGGCUCGCGUCUCGAUGGCAUCCAUAUGCAACUUUAAUUUCAGCACUUCAAGCUGCACGGGAAGGGAUAAAGAUAGCUUUUGAAGAUUGCUUUUCAUGUUCAUCUGAGCGUUUAAGUGUUGCAGAGAAGAUCUGGACUGCUUUUUUUUUUUUUCUUUUUUCCUCUUUUGUGAGGCAGGAGUUCGGCUUCUGCGAGACAGUUUGAAGCAUCUGAAAAUGGCAGCUUUAGCGGCAAUUUCCUGGUAUUGUCUCCACGCUAACGAGAUAAACACUGUGUGUCAAUCAGAGCGACUUCCAAAAGGUGUCGUAUUUCAAGGUUGAGCUACAUUUCGUGUGGUAACAGUGAGCAGUGGAUGGUAAUUUUGUGGAGAGAACUUGACUGAGCUGCCAGCUGUUUUUGGACAUUUUUAUUUUGGAGCGUGUUCUUUACCCUCCAAUAAAAUGCCCAACUUCAGUAUUCCUCUCUCACAUGAAUAUGCUUCGAACAAACAGCCCUAACAUCCAUGUUAUACGAUCCCCAUUGUUAAAUGUUCUCUUUUAACUUCCAUCCAAAUCAGCUCGCAGAGGGCCAGUGCUAAAAAGGAUAUGGAGCUUUCAGAUGGCACCUAAGUGCUGUAUCGCGUAACCGCCGAGCCUUUUUAUGGAUUAACAGUUUAUUCCUUUUGCUGGAGCCACACCAAAGCGCCCUGGCCCUGUGUAAAAUACACUGCUUUUGGUGAAUUAUGAGUGUGGCCUUCGUCCAAGUGCCUGCGGCCUUCCUGUUUAUUUGUACGGCGGCGCAGGUCGGCGGCGAGGUGGGGUCCGACGGAUCCAGCUGAGCAUGUGUAAACACUCAUCCUGGGAGCUGCGGUGAAA